AUACGGAGGAUCCGAGCGUUAUCCGGAUUUAUUGGGUUUAAAGGGUGCGCAGGCGGCCAUUUAAGUCAGCGGUUAAAUCGUGGGGCUCAACCCCAUUCUGCCGUUGAUACUGGGUGGCUUGAUUGCGGUCGAGGUUGGCGGAAUUCGUUGUGUAGCGGUGAAAUGCAUAGAUAUGACGAAGAACACCGAUUGCGUAGGCAGCUGACCAGGUCGCAAAUGACGCUCAUGCACGAAAGUGCGGGGAUCGAACAGGAUUAGAUACCCUGGUAGUCCGCACAGUAAACGAUGAUGGCUAACCGCUGGGCUUAUCAGUUCAGUGGCCAAGCGAAAGCGAUAAGCCAUCCACCUGGGGAGUACGACCGCAAGGUUGAAACUCAAAUGAAUUGACGGGG
RNAcentral lists this ribosomal RNA (392 nucleotides) under uncultured bacterium. RNAcentral's name for it is "partial 16S ribosomal RNA". It matches the Rfam family "Bacterial small subunit ribosomal RNA", at positions 523 to 918 of the family's 1533-position model. The record is from RNAcentral.